GUGCCCGUAGUUCAACUGGCGGAGCGUCUGACUGUGGAUCAGAAGGUUGCGGGUUCGAGCCCCGCCGGGCACC
This 73-nucleotide transfer RNA is filed under the name Pseudomonadota bacterium. RNAcentral's name for it is "tRNA-His". It matches the Rfam family "tRNA". From Rfam's summary of the family: Transfer RNA (tRNA) molecules are approximately 80 nucleotides in length. Their secondary structure includes four short double-helical elements and three loops (D, anti-codon, and T loops). The record is from RNAcentral. RNAcentral also lists the same sequence under 1 other name. Lineage: Bacteria; Pseudomonadati; Pseudomonadota.